This 631-nucleotide ribosomal RNA is filed under the name Escherichia coli. RNAcentral's name for it is "partial 23S ribosomal RNA". It matches the Rfam family "Bacterial large subunit ribosomal RNA", at positions 2259 to 2884 of the family's 2925-position model. The record is from RNAcentral. Lineage: Bacteria; Pseudomonadati; Pseudomonadota; Gammaproteobacteria; Enterobacterales; Enterobacteriaceae.
UGGUGGGUAGUUUGACUGGGGCGGUCUCCUCCUAAAGAGUAACGGAGGAGCACGAAGGUUGGCUAAUCCUGGUCGGACAUCAGGAGGUUAGUGCAAUGGCAUAAGCCAGCUUGACUGCGAGCGUGACGGCGCGAGCAGGUGCGAAAGCAGGUCAUAGUGAUCCGGUGGUUCUGAAUGGAAGGGCCAUCGCUCAACGGAUAAAAGGUACUCCGGGGAUAACAGGCUGAUACCGCCCAAGAGUUCAUAUCGACGGCGGUGUUUGGCACCUCGAUGUCGGCUCAUCACAUCCUGGGGCUGAAGUAGGUCCCAAGGGUAUGGCUGUUCGCCAUUUAAAGUGGUACGCGAGCUGGGUUUAGAACGUCGUGAGACAGUUCGGUCCCUAUCUGCCGUGGGCGCUGGAGAACUGAGGGGGGCUGCUCCUAGUACGAGAGGACCGGAGUGGACGCAUCACUGGUGUUCGGGUUGUCAUGCCAAUGGCACUGCCCGGUAGCUAAAUGCGGAAGAGAUAAGUGCUGAAAGCAUCUAAGCACGAAACUUGCCCCGAGAUGAGUUCUCCCUGACCCUUUAAGGGUCCUGAAGGAACGUUGAAGACGACGACGUUGAUAGGCCGGGUGUGUAAGCGCAGCGAUGC